GAUGAACGCUGGCGGCGUGCCUAAUACAUGCAAGUCGAGCGAACAGACGAGGAGCUUGCUCCUCUGACGUUAGCGGCGGACGGGUGAGUAACACGUGGAUAACCUACCUAUAAGACUGGGAUAACUUCGGGAAACCGGAGCUACUACCGGAUAAUAUAUUGAACCGCAUGGUUCAAUAGUGAAAGACGGUUUUGCUGUCACUUAUAGAUGGAUCCGCGCCGCAUUAGCUAGUUGGUAAGGUAACGGCUUACCAAGGCAACGAUGCGUAGCCGACCUGAGAGGGUGAUCGGCCACACUGGAACUGAGACACGGUCCAGACUCCUACGGGAGGCAGCAGUAGGGAAUCUUCCGCAAUGGGCGAAAGCCUGACGGAGCAACGCCGCGUGAGUGAUGAAGGUCUUCGGAUCGUAAAACUCUGUUAUUAGGGAAGAACAAAUGUGUAAUUAACUAUGCACGUCUUGACGGUACCUAAUCAGAAAGCCACGGCUAACUACGUG
RNAcentral lists this ribosomal RNA (497 nucleotides) under uncultured bacterium. RNAcentral describes it as "partial 16S ribosomal RNA". It matches the Rfam family "Bacterial small subunit ribosomal RNA", at positions 28 to 507 of the family's 1533-position model. The record is from RNAcentral.